Molecule: transfer RNA, 73 nt
Filed under: Candidatus Parcubacteria bacterium
Lineage: Bacteria; Candidatus Parcubacteria
Description: tRNA-Cys
Rfam family: tRNA
About the family: Transfer RNA (tRNA) molecules are approximately 80 nucleotides in length. Their secondary structure includes four short double-helical elements and three loops (D, anti-codon, and T loops).
Source: RNAcentral
GGCGCGGUAGCUAAGUGGCUAAAGCACCGGACUGCAAAUCCGGGAUACGUGGGUUCGAUUCCCACCCGCGCCU